RNAcentral lists this long non-coding RNA (205 nucleotides) under Lathyrus oleraceus (garden pea). Its description in RNAcentral is "Pisum sativum (pea) long non-coding RNA (PSAT_LNC007790)". Lineage: Eukaryota; Viridiplantae; Streptophyta; Magnoliopsida; Fabales; Fabaceae. The record is from RNAcentral.
AUAGAGGAUAAUCAAGGUAAUAUGUUAAUUUAAAAUUAAAAAAAAAGCGUCAUAUUCAAGGAAUUGCAUGCAAAUGAUAUUACCAAUUGUUUCGGCAAAUUAACUGAGGGAUAAUACAAAUUUUAAAAAAUAAUAAUAAAAUUAAAAAAAGACAUUUAAAAUUAUUAAUUACAUAAUUAAAAAUAAUUAAAUAAAAGGAAAACAG